UUUUUUUUUUUUUUUUGUCUUUUUUAGGGCCGCACUCACAGCAUAUGGGGGUUCCCAGGCUAGGGGUUGAAUCAUACCUAUAGCUGCUGGCCUAUACCACAGCCACAGCAACACCAGAUCCAAGCCACAUCUGCAACCUACACCACAGCUCACAGCAACACCGAUCCUUAACCCAUUGAGCAAGGCUUGGGAUCCAACCUGCAUCCUCACGGAUACUAGAUUCAUUUCUGCUGAGCCACAACAGGAACUCCCUAAGGCUUGGUCUUCAACCAAGUGUGGAGUAUCUGCUAUGUGCAAGGCACUAUGCUAGAUGCUGAUAAGCUCACUUCUACUGAGAAAGAGAGAAACGUGAAUAGUUGUGAGUGUUACCUGAGAAGUGAUGUAAUAGGAAUAGGAGUGAGUCAUUUCCAAGGGACCCCAAGGUAGGGAAUCUCCACUUCUCUAGUAGUGGAGAGGGGAGGCACAUGGAUAGGAUCUUGAAGGUCUAAUGCCAAGAUCAUGCUUGAGCUUUCUCCUGCUCUUUGCAAUAAGAUUGAUUAGCAUUUUCCAUGUGCUUAAGCUCACUUUAUUAAAAGUAAAAAAAAAUCACUUUUUGAUGUUUAGCUUCAGUUUUGAGAAUUUAAUUAUGAAAAAAGCAUUAUCAUCAAAACUGUGUGAAUUUUUAGCAGAUCAUCAAGCCUAUCUGUGUCUCAGGUUCUUCCAAGGGUGCUUAGAAAGACUGUAUGAGUUAAAAUAUAUACAGUUAAAAUAUAUGCAGAACCAGGCCCUGCACUACAUGCUAUGAUUGCCUUGCCUUCCAUCCCAGGGGACACCAUUAGUGGAAAUUGGGUAUGAAUGAGCCACGGCAGCAAUUCAGACACCUGCUGUUUCCAGAUCCUGCCCCUGGGAGCCUCUGGAACCAGGUCCAGACUCAGUGAGCUAGGGUCUGUGGUUGCAGCUUGUACCACAGUUAACCUACAGCGCUGCUGUGAGCAUUGCUGUGGGAUAUCCUCUAGGUAUAUAAACGUGAUGCUUACUGUCUCUCAAAAGACAACCCUGUAGCCUAUGGGCUUGUUUUUGUUUGCCAAAGGUCAGCAAUUGUCUCAUUUGCUAAAACACAUAAACAAAAAGUCCAUCCUGCAAAGCAUUGCUCUCAAGAGUUGAGGCGCGUGUUUAAGCAAAUCAGGUAACAGUAACAAUCCAUCACAGCCACUGUCAAAGCCUGCUGAGCUUGUGACUGGGCUUGGGAAGGUUCUGCAAAGAGAUGACACACCUCACUUGGUCUCAGGUCUUUGGGAUUCGCUGUCAUCACCAAAGAGGAGGGGCCAGCAAAGUCCCACCAAAGAGCCUGGGACAGGUUGGCUGUGAGUGGAAAUUUGGAUUUCAGAACAGAACAGUAGCUGGGAACUUAGAGCCAAAAUCUCACUCCCAAGGAGGCUCUAGUGCAUUAAAGACCCACCAGGAAACAUGUAGGAUGGAAAAACCAAGAGCCAGCUGGUCCCAGGUAUUGGGGGUGGCCGCAUACAAGCCGACGUGGGAAGCAGACAGCGUUUGUCUGGCACUCCGAAUGCAGAGUGUCUCCAAGUUCUCACAGCGAGAGGGAGCUGGGAGAAAGCUGUCUGGGAUAUGCCAUGGCAAAAGGAGUUCAAAACUGUUUUCAUGCCCAUAGGAGCACAGUAGGCUCUGCAGCUGCUCUAUCUCUGUGCCUCCAAAGAUGUCAUUUUUCCUCCCCCUUCCCCAGGAUUUUAUCCCCUAGAGGAGUCCCCCUGUUUACAGCUGCCCUUCCAAACCCUCCCUGGGACUUGAUAUAUGAAUCAUGCCCCUGCUCAAAGACCUUCACAACUGCCCCCAAACAUACAGAAUAGAGCCCAAAUCCUCAGCUCAGCAUCCAAGGGAGCUUACCCUGUUCUGGCCCUUAGGUCUCACCUCUUCCUCUGCUCCAUGCUUUAACCACAGCACACGUGUUCACUGCAGAUGAACCCCCAUUCACUUUCUCUGAGCCUUGCCUGAUGCUAUUUCCUCCGCCUGAAAGCUUUCCUUGCCCUUCCCUCCUCCUAAGCUUGUCAUUCCUUAGACAAGAUUUUCUUUGACUGGUAUGUCUAUUCUAUGGCAGACACUUUUCUGAUACUGUUUGAAAUGGCUGUGGUGGCAGAUUUCAAGGAAGACCCCUUCUCCUCCUUGAACCCAUGCCCCCUCACCUGUGACUUAGAGUGCCCUCCCAUCCUGAGGCUCAGAUCAGUCAUGUGAUGGGUUUUGGCCAGUGGGAUAUUAGCGAAUAUGAUGCAGGCAGACGCUGAAAGUCACUUGUACUCUUUUUGUUUCUCUUGGAAACCUUCUGCCUCUGUGUGAAUGAGCCUUGACUAGCCUGCUGGAGGCUAAGAAGGCUUGUGAAACAGAGACGGUGGCUCAGCUGAGGGCCCUAGACCAGUCAGCCUCAACUGGACCACACAUCUAUUCACAGAUGCAUGAGUGAGCCCAAAUUGCCAGCCACAGAAUCUUGUGCUAAAAUAAAUAGCGGUUGUUUUUAAGUUACAUGCUUAGGCUGGUUUCUUAAACACACUAGAUACCUAAUGCAGCCAUGGAUUGGUCUUAUCAGUCUAAUCUCUCUUCCCCUUUCUGUUGGUACUAGCAACCUGCUUUUAUAUUGACCAACACCCUCCAUUCUCAGUCUGUGCUACAUAAUUCUGCUGAAGCUGACCUGCUCUUCUGACUCCAGGGAUGGUCAUUCAGUGUAUCUCUGGCCACCAGGAUGGGCACAUGGCUCAAAUGGUCUAAGAAGACUUAGAUCUGGGAUUUUGUUGUAAUUCUUGGAAUAAUGCUGUUUUUCCAGCAGGGUGGCUAAGCCAGGAGAAGGUCAGCCUUGAGUGCUCACACAGCUCACACAGAAGAGAGAAGGACUAAGACAGUGAGUCCUGCUGACACGAGUCCCUGGAUCAGCCUGUGCCUGCAGGCAGAUUCAUCUCUCCCUUGAUUCUUCAGUUAUACAAACAGAAAAAAAAAUCCUCUAUUUCUGUUUAAGCCAGUAUGAGUGGGGUCUCUGUUAUUUACAGUGUCAAAUUUCUGACUGAGACACUCUUCAGAUACUCAAAGAAACUUCAUCUCCUGGCAAGAAUGGAAUUUCCUGUAGAUUUGUGUGGUGGUCAAGAAUACUAACUUUGGGUUGGAGAGACUUGACCUCAGACUCUGGGUUUUUCGUUUGCUACACGUAGGUACCACAUAACCCAUGUUACAUCUCCAAGCCUGGAUGGAAUGUCUGCUUUAACAUCACACACCACACAGGGUUGUUGUGAAGAGUAAAUGAAACUCUGUGUGUGAAUCACGUGGUACACGUUUAGCAAUUGCUAUUUAAAAAAACCCCUGAAACUAUUUCAAUUAUUCUGUACUCUCCUGCUGGCAAGAAUAAUGGCUUCAAUGGCUCUGUACACAUUAUUUGUUAUGUCUUACAUUUCUUUCUGUUCUCAGACCAGUGCACAGGGCUUUAAACAUAGUCGAUACACAUAUUUAAUAUGUGCGUUCUUUGGGCAAAGAAUUUGCUGUUUCAUCCAAACACUCGUGAUGACUUUCUUCCUGGUCAUCCAGUCAUUCUGAGGUAGGAAAAUGGCUGAUGUUGAGAAGGGGUCAGGCUGGAGGCUCAAUCACCUAGCGUAAUUUUCCAGUUUUCUCCUUUGGAAUCCAAUGGGAACAUAAAAUAUUAUCAUCUUUGCCAGUAGGGUAGCUUGGUGCUGGCACAGAAUGGAGGCUCCACAAGUGGUCAUGGUCUUCCUUCCUCUGAGCUCUGGGAGUGAGGAAGGCAACCCUAUCCCUUUCCAGGCAGCAGCUCCUCUUCUGCUGGCCAGCUGACUAGAAAUUGCCCAGAAGGCCAACAGCCUUCUUUCCUUGUUGCAAAUAACAUCAUUUCAUCCGGGUGGACAGAGGAACUCAGUGGAAUGUAUAUUUGUCCCUGAUCUCUGGUUUCUGAUUGUCACUCAGGAUGUGCCCAGCAGGCAGCCUGCUGUGUUCUAAGCACCACAGCCAGAUGAUAAAUCUUUGAUUUUUGCUCUCCUCUUUGGCUCGGGAAUAAUGGGUCCAUAAUGAAUUGCAUCCAUAAGAAUAGCUGUAAUUGUAACAGUGUUGCAGAGGGAACUGGCAAAUCAGCUCGACCGUGGAAAUGUGCCUACUUUGUUCCUAUCACUUUCUUUGGAAUGGUGACCAACUUGGUUUUUCCAUCCCAAACUUUUAAUAAGCAGCAGGCUUUCUGUGAGAAGAGGAAAAUAAAAGCCAUACAUCUGGGAGGUUUUAUUCUUGGUUUGUUUGCUUAAUUCUCUUGUCCGCACAAUUUCCCUUACAAAAAAAUUUCCCUCAGGGAAAAAAAAAAAAA
This 4336-nucleotide long non-coding RNA is filed under the name Sus scrofa (pig). RNAcentral describes it as "lncRNA (ENSSSCG00035014695.1)". The record is from RNAcentral. Lineage: Eukaryota; Metazoa; Chordata; Mammalia; Artiodactyla; Suidae.